CCUACGGGGGGCAGCAGUGGGGAAUAUUGGACAAUGGGGGGAACCCUGAUCCAGCCAUGCCGCGUGUGUGAAGAAGGCCCUCGGGUUGUAAAGCACUUUCAGUGAGGAAGAACGCCUGGUGGUUAAUACCCAUCAGGAAAGACAUCACUCACAGAAGAAGCACCGGCUAACUCCGUGCCAGCAGCCGCGGUAAUACGGAGGGUGCGAGCGUUAAUCGGAAUUACUGGGCGUAAAGCGCGCGUAGGUGGCUUGAUAAGCCGGUUGUGAAAGCCCCGGGCUCAACCUGGGAACGGCAUCCGGAACUGUCAAGCUAGAGUGCAGGAGAGGAAGGUAGAAUUCCCGGUGUAGCGGUGAAAUGCGUAGAGAUCGGGAGGAAUACCAGUGGCGAAGGCGGCCUUCUAGACUGACACUGACACUGAGGUGCGAAAGCGUGGGUAGCAAACAGGAUUAGAUACCCGAGUAGUC
This 465-nucleotide ribosomal RNA is filed under the name Vreelandella stevensii. Its description in RNAcentral is "partial 16S ribosomal RNA". It matches the Rfam family "Bacterial small subunit ribosomal RNA", at positions 338 to 795 of the family's 1533-position model. Lineage: Bacteria; Pseudomonadati; Pseudomonadota; Gammaproteobacteria; Oceanospirillales; Halomonadaceae. The record is from RNAcentral.